GGGCACAUAGCUCAGCUGGGAGAGCACCUGCCUUACAAGCAGGGGGUCACAGGUUCGAGCCCUGUUGCGCCCACCA
This 76-nucleotide transfer RNA is filed under the name Alkaliphilus metalliredigens QYMF. RNAcentral's name for it is "tRNA-Val (TAC) (tRNA-Val-TAC-2-1)". It matches the Rfam family "tRNA". From Rfam's summary of the family: Transfer RNA (tRNA) molecules are approximately 80 nucleotides in length. Lineage: Bacteria; Bacillati; Bacillota; Clostridia; Peptostreptococcales; Natronincolaceae. RNAcentral also lists the same sequence under 2 other names. The record is from RNAcentral.